UACGCCGGCAGAUUUUUGACGGUUAGGAGGGCUAGGCCUACGAGCUGGUUAUUUUACACUCGUUUGCCAGGAAAGUGGUUGUGGCGGCAGCGGCAGCUCUCUGAGGAACUGUCAACCCAAGGAAAACUGGAGUCUGAGGCUUCUGUAUGUGUGAUAUCCCCACCUGGUAUGAGAACACCAACCUACUUUCCCUUGGGACGCUUUUGGAAACAAGAUGUGGCAUCUCAGUUCCUUUCCGUGCGCAGAGUUUUCAUGUGACCGUCCCUCUCUUUCGGUGCCAUGCAGCUAUCCCACAAAUCUUGUGAGCUGGAACCAUCCUGGGACCAGCUAUGGUCACUGACGUGCCUCUAAUGGAAUGGUCUUUUCACAUGAGCUACAAAUGACAGCUCCACUAGAGAACCACCCUGGGAAAGGCAGGCAAUAAUGCUGUAUCCUCCACCUUCUUAAUCUUUGCUGAACCUCCAAGAAAGCUCCUAUUGUCUGGUUGAGGAUUGUCAGAAUGAUUGAUGUAUUCUUGCAGGAUGGAGAUAAUAUAGUGCUCUAGCUCUGGAAGGCAAGGGCUUCACUCUGGGGAUGGCAACAGAUGAUUCUCCGCAGCGUAACAAUGGAUGUCAUGUGAUAGUCAAAGGACCAUGAAACCCAAGAAAUCCUGAUCAAAAGACUGUUCUGUCAGAUCCAUGAAUAACGUACCUACCACUGUCUGGGUUCAUGGUGCUAUCCAUUUGUCAAGAAAUUAGCAAGAAAUAGAUUCAAGUCUUGGACACCAGCCUUCAUCCUGUUGGAUCCUUAUCUGCAGCUAAUUACAGUUCACUGCACUAGAGGGUGCAUGGAAUGCAAUGGCAGCACCUAGCAUGGACAUAUAAUUUCAACCACAACCUUCACCCAUUCUGCUUGUCCAUGAUGAGACAACUGAGGUACAGAGGUGAUGUCCAAGGUCAGACACCACAAGGCAGUGGCUGUACCAGAUCUCCUGAGUCCCAGCGCGCUGCACUAGAGCACGCUGCCCCAUCAGGCUUUCAGGUACUGGCCCUUGUUGGAAACAGGAGACUGGAUUAGUCGUUGGAUCUGCCAAGCACAGCAGAAAAACAUACAAUCAGCAGUUGCCCACCUGCUUCUAAUGUGUAUGAAGAGCAUGGAGAUGUUAAGAAAGUCCUCUGCAUGUGGAGAACCACUAUAUUAGCAGACCCUUGUAAGCUGGAGCAGUGGAGCCUGCCCACAGAUGGAAGAGGAAACCAUAGUGAGAUAAGUGGAAGUAUAUUUUGGAAGGCACUGUCACAAUUACAAAUUUCAAACUCAAUAGUCCUUGAGAAAUUAAUAAUACGGACAGUCUCCCCCAAUCUAUUUUAGUUAGUAAUUAGCAGUGUUAACAGCUAUUUCUGUUUUUAAGUCAUUAAUGCUUGCACUUGUAACACUGGCCAGUAAAUAAUGGUUAUAGGUUGAUGUGCUGUGGUAGGCUUAAGAUGAUUGCAAUAUAUUAAUUUUGUUAACAUUUCCUGUCUUGCGGCAUUAUUAGUUCAAAUUACUGUUUCUUUAAAAAUCCCCAACAUGCUUUGAACUCCACAGCUUGUCUUUAUGAAGGAUAUAGACACAACAAUAGUGAAAAUAUUAUUAAAUUAUAUAUUAUUAUUAUUAUUAAUAUUAUUAAAAUAUAAACCAAUUACUGUGUGUGUCUGUGUGUAUACACACACUGUAACGUAACCAAAAAUAACUAGGAUUAAAAAUGAGUGCUUAUACAUUUUACUCUCCCCAUAAAAAUAAUAUUUUGUGGACCAAAUUAGUUCAGGAAACAUUCUUAAAAUUUAAAAUACACAUUUAUGCAGGAGAUACACAUGAGCAUUUUUUGUCAUACAUUAAAGGAGAUCAUAACAUAGUAAUAGUUAUAAGCUGAUCAAUGUACUAUCUCUAUUAGAUACAAAAAUCAUGCAGCCCAGCAUCAAUAUGGGCUUUUUGUGGGGUGAUCAUGGCUUGAUGGAUAAGGGGUGUGUGUGUGUGCGGGAUUGUUUUUCUAGGUAUGUUUUUUUUGCAUAUAUUGGUAGAUACAUAUACAUACACAUUUAAGUACCCUCCACACGUAUUGUAACAAUCCCACUCCCCUCUGUAAUUAUGAUUUUAAUUCCAUAGAUUUAUUUGAAAUUUAAAAUGUGACUGAUCAGAUUUAUUCCUAGCUAAGAAUCAAUAGAAAUAAAAUUUGACAUUUAAAUUUAUUUUGUAUCCGUAUAGAAAAAUGUAAACUACAAAGGUAAACACAUGGUUUAAUAGGUAUAACUUUUGUUUUGUAUUGACUGACUUUUUAAUUUACACUAUUAGAGGUAUAAGCAUAUUCAUUUGCAAAAAUGAAUAUGCCAAAAGGCCAAACAAUUUUUUUUUAAACAUGUAAUUAACUCAAGCUCAGUUAAAAGGGUAGGAAACUGGCAGUGAUCCAAAUACUAAGGUAAUGUCUAAUUUAAUUUGCUUAGGUUUAAUUUUUUAAUCUAGAUAAUUGCUCUAUGGUUACUAGUAACAAUGUUAUCUCAUAGCUGUAAUAUUUGGUACAGUACUUAAUUAUGAAUUAGGGUUUUCUUUGCAAUAAAGCAACGGUGCUCACUUAUUUUUAGAAAACUGCAUUCAUAGCAAAUCCGUAAUCCUCACAGCAAUGCUGCCUAUUGACACUUUUUCAUUUGUUUCCCCAAAAGACUUCUGGAAUCAUCAUUUAUUCUUUUGGGUUUUAAAGAAUGCCAGCAACUGCUCUAAGCUUAAUGAAUGUAAAAACAUUAACUUUGUUGGGUUCUAGCUCCUGAUUCUCUUCCAGUUUCCAACCCACAAGAUUGAUUUUAAAAUAAACAAUUGCAAAAAAGGAAUGAUUAAAGGCCAAGGAAAAAAGAAAGUGAAGAGCCAAAGGUGUUUUCUUAAUUUAAAAUAUAUAUGGGAAAUAGUAGCUUAGCAUAACAUACAAAUGGUAUAUAUUGUAAUACCUCAAAGUGAGAUGGCAACCAACCAUGUGUAACGUUUCAAUGGUAUCCAUUUGUAAAAGCCGUUGCAAUCAAAGGUCCCUAAAAUUGUACAAUUAUUAAGGUCAUCAGUGUUCUAUACAUGGGAACAGAUUAUUAUUAAUUUUUUGGCAAGUAAUUAUCAAAGGACUUGAAAGACUGUGUUGCCAGCAUGAAUAUGUGUUUAAGAAAGCUGUUCUCUAGUCACCACUGACUUGAUGUGUUGAAUUCUAAUCUUACCUUUCCAAGACACUAAUCUUCUCACACACCCCCCUCUAAAUUUUGGGUUUUUUAAACAUUAGGAUUAGUAAAUGGACAAUGUUAAAAAAAUAAAGAAUAAAAAAGACCCCCAUGUUCUCAAUAAGGUUAUGCGGGGAGAGGAGGAAUUAGGAGGCUGCCAAUCUGCACAUCAGAGAGAAAAUACUUCCUUAAAAAAAUGAUAGUACAGACAAAACAAGAUGCCAAAUGUUGUAUUAUUAUUAUUAUUUGACUACCAGGACGUUGCAGAGGUCAAAGUGCACAAGUUUUCAAGAACAAACAGGUCUUUUUCUUUAGGCGAAAAGUGGAAAUGAGGGGUGUUGUAAGUGGUGAUAGAUGGCAGUUUAAAUUGAUGUAGCUCUUGGCAGAAUAAUAAUAAUCCACAUUUCAGAGCACCACUGAUCCAAUGAGAUUGUCAAGUUACUUAAGUGACUUUACGAUGGGAAUGGAAUUGAACAAGAAUUCACAAUAUUAGGACACCACUAGAAGACUGCAAAAAGGUAGCUGAUUUCCCAUUUCAAAGACUGACAGCCACUAAAGAGAUUCAAACACAUUCAUGCUAACGCACAGAGAUUUGGAGAGCGAGGACCUCUGUCUCCAAAACUGCACAAAAUAAGUUUCAGCUCCAUACAGGAGGACUGAUUUCACAAGCAGAAAAGAGGCUGUCCAAGAAACACCUGGUGACGCGACCUUCAAGCUGAUAGCAAAAAAAUGGGCUAUACCUGGAACCAGCUAGAGC
RNA transcript from Gopherus evgoodei (Goodes thornscrub tortoise), 3963 nucleotides. It is a transcript of the gene named coiled-coil domain containing 182, with no coding region annotated. The transcript is spliced from 14 exons. Lineage: Eukaryota; Metazoa; Chordata; Testudines; Testudinidae. The record is from RefSeq and is a predicted model, not a curated record.